GACGAACGCUGGCGGCGUGCUUAACACAUGCAAGUCGAACGGAAAGGCCCUGCUUGCAGGGUACUCGAGUGGCGAACGGGUGAGUAACACGUGGGUGAUCUGCCCUGCACUUCGGGAUAAGCCUGGGAAACUGGGUCUAAUACCGGAUAGGAGCCAUUUUUAGUGUGAUGGUUGGAAAGUUUUUUCGGUGUAGGAUGAGCUCGCGGCCUAUCAGCUUGUUGGUUGGGUAAUGGCCUACCAAGGCGGCGACGGGUAGCCGGCCUGGGAGGGUGGACGGCCACAUUGGGACUGGGAUACGGCCCAGACUCCUACGGGGGGCAGCAGUGGGGAAUAUUGCACAAUGGGCGCAAGCCUGAUGCAGCGACGCCGCGUGGGGGAUGACGGCCUUCGGGUUGGAAACUCCUUUCGCUAGGGACGAAGCUUUUUGUGACGGUACCUAGAUAAGAAGCACCGGCUAACUACGUG
RNAcentral lists this ribosomal RNA (465 nucleotides) under uncultured bacterium. RNAcentral describes it as "partial 16S ribosomal RNA". It matches the Rfam family "Bacterial small subunit ribosomal RNA", at positions 28 to 507 of the family's 1533-position model. The record is from RNAcentral.